RNAcentral lists this ribosomal RNA (394 nucleotides) under uncultured bacterium. Its description in RNAcentral is "partial 16S ribosomal RNA". It matches the Rfam family "Bacterial small subunit ribosomal RNA", at positions 338 to 729 of the family's 1533-position model. The record is from RNAcentral.
CCUACGGGAGGCUGCAGUGAGGAAUAUUGGUCAAUGGCCGCAAGGCUGAACCAGCCAAGUCGCGUGAAGGAAGACGGUCCUAUGGAUUGUAAACUUCUUUUAUAGGGGAACAAAGGUAGCCACGUGUGGCUAUUUGCAUGUACCCUAUGAAUAAGCAUCGGCUAACUCCGUGCCAGCAGCCGCGGUAAUACGGAGGAUGCGAGCGUUUUCCGGAUUUUUUGGGGUUAAAGGGGUCGUAGGGUGUAUGUUAAGUCAGCGGGUAAAAUUUGGGGCUCAACCAUAAAAGUGCCGUUGAAACUGGAAUGCUUGAGUGUGUGAGAAGUAGGCGGAAUGCGUGGUGUAGCGGUGAAAUGCAUAGAUAUCACGCAGAACUCCGAUUGCGAAGGCAGCAUAC